Molecule: ribosomal RNA, 460 nt
Filed under: uncultured bacterium
Lineage: Bacteria
Description: partial 16S ribosomal RNA
Rfam family: Bacterial small subunit ribosomal RNA
Source: RNAcentral
UCUACGGGUGGCAGCAGUGAGGAAUAUUGGUCAAUGGCCGAGAGGCUGAACCAGCCAAGUCGCGUGAGGGAAGACGGCCCUACGGGUUGUAAACCUCUUUUGUCGGGGAGCAAAGCGAGUCACGUGUGACUCAUUGAGAGUACCCGAAGAAAAAGCAUCGGCUAACUCCGUGCCAGCAGCCGCGGUAAUACGUAGGGAGCAAGCGUUAUCCGGAUUUAUUGGGUGUAACGGGUGCGUAGACGGGAAGGCAAGUUGGUUGUGAAAUCCCUCGGCUUAACUGAGGAACUGCAACCAAAACUAUCUUUCUUGAGUGCUGGAGAGGAAAGUGGAAUUCCUAGUGUAGCGGUGAAAUGCGUAGAUAUUAGGAGGAACACCAGUGGCGAAGGCGACUUUCUGGACAGUAACUGACGUUGAGGCACGAAAGUGUGGGGAGCAAACAGGAUUAGAUACCCCUGUAGUC